CACAGAGCCGCCCAGGCCACCUAGCGCCUAGGCGCCGCCUAGCCCGAUUUGUCAAAAAUUUCCUUGUGAUUCUUUACGUUAUCGUCUUGAUCUUGCCUCUUCUGUUGCUUGCGUCAAUUCUGGUCAAGCAUGGAAUUGAAAAUUAUCAUUGAUGUUGUCUGCUAAAGAACAAAUAGCAUGCGAUAUCACCUGUUAAACCCUUUUGCUCAGAAUUUCGUACUGGAAAUCAAAGUCCACUUCGGGAUGCAACAUAUUGAACUUAUGCACAUGUGGUAUGCUCUGGAUUUAGUUGUUCUUGCGGUUGAAGUGAUGAAGGACUAUGACUGGUGAAGUUUCAUGUUUUCCUUUGAAAUAUCAUGAUGGUGAAUGUCAUAAGUUCGCUUUUAAAUAUGGACGAUCUUUCUCUCAAUUAGGCUCAUUGUGCCUCACCUUGGAGCUAUUCUGAAUCACAUUACACAUGUGCUUCGGAGCAAACUCAUCUAACACGUAAAAAGGGAAACAAAUUAGUUGUAUCUUUCACGGAGAACUACUUGAUAUAUUACAUCGCUGUCUUCCUUCAACUAUAAGUUUAUAACUGAACUAGAUCAUGCUCUAAGUGAUGGCGUAAGUAGGGGUGGGAGACAAGCAUUGGAGUGGAGAGCGUCAAUUGCUAAACAUUUCAUUGACGAGUGGGAGCGGCAGUUGUCAAUUUUGCAGCGUCUUCUUUCGUUAUCUGAAUGCCAGUGGCAGUGGAAAGAGGCAUUGACUAUAUUACGUCCCGCACCAUCUAAGCUACUUAACCUGUGAGUUACAGGCCUUUUCUUCUUUGGGAAUUUAUAUAAUGAUCAAUUGGUUCUUGUGCAUGAAUUACUUUUUGGAUAUUUGUUAUAGAUCACUGGUUGUUUAUCCUAUAAGAGAAUGGUAGUUUAUGA
Molecule: long non-coding RNA, 911 nt
Organism: Prunus mume (Japanese apricot)
Lineage: Eukaryota; Viridiplantae; Streptophyta; Magnoliopsida; Rosales; Rosaceae
Source: RefSeq, a predicted model, not a curated record